GCGGAAUUAGCUCAGUUGGCAGAGUGUUGGCUUCCCAAGCCGAAGGUCGCGGGUUCGAACCCCGUAUUCCGCU
Molecule: transfer RNA, 73 nt
Filed under: Bacteroidales bacterium
Lineage: Bacteria; Pseudomonadati; Bacteroidota; Bacteroidia; Bacteroidales
Also listed under: 1 other name
Description: tRNA-Gly
Rfam family: tRNA
About the family: Transfer RNA (tRNA) molecules are approximately 80 nucleotides in length. Their secondary structure includes four short double-helical elements and three loops (D, anti-codon, and T loops).
Source: RNAcentral